AUUGAACGCUGGCGGCAUGCCUUACACAUGCAAGUCGAACGGUAACAGGUCUUCGGAUGCUGACGAGUGGCGAACGGGUGAGUAAUACAUCGGAACGUGCCUAGUAGUGGGGGAUAACUACUCGAAAGAGUGGCUAAUACCGCAUGAGAUCUACGGAUGAAAGCAGGGGAUCGCAAGAACUUGUGCUACUAGAGCGGCCGAUGGCAGAUUAGGUAGUUGGUGGGAUAAAAGCUUACCAAGCCGACGAUCUGUAGCUGGUCUGAGAGGACGAGCAGCCACACUGGGACUGAGACACGGCCCAGACUCCUACGGGAGGCAGCAGUGGGGAAUUUUGGACAAUGGGCGAAGGCCUGAUCCAGCAAUGCCGCGUGCAGGAUGAAGGCCUUCGGGUUGUAAACUGCUUUUGUACGGAACGAAAAGCCCCGGGUUAAUACCCUGGGGUCAUGACGGUACCGUAAGAAUAAGCACCGGCUAACUACGUGCCAGCAGCCGCCGUAA
This 498-nucleotide ribosomal RNA is filed under the name uncultured bacterium. Its description in RNAcentral is "partial 16S ribosomal RNA". It matches the Rfam family "Bacterial small subunit ribosomal RNA", at positions 30 to 523 of the family's 1533-position model. The record is from RNAcentral.